CGUGCUUAACGCUGGAUCAGAACAUGACAAAACUUGCUAUACCAAUGAACCGACCGGAUAUGUGCUGUUUGCAUGUUUCUGCAUGUAAUAGCGUAGAGUCUAAUCUUAUUGUCGUUGCGAAUGUACCCAUCCACUCACCUCGCCGAUCGGGUCACCACACACCCAAUCAGCUACUCUAUUCAACGAUAUUAACAUGAACCGAUGCAACAGACCGUAUUGUCAUACCAGACGAGAAAUCCUUACACUCUGACCAGACGAACAAGGGCGAAAGCACUCUGCUAAGAGGCCUUCAUUAAUCAAGAACGAGAGUGCAGGGAUCGAAGAUGAUCAGAUACUGUCGUAGUCUGCUACUGUAAACGAUGCAAACUAGGGAUCAGUUGAUGGGACAACAUGAUUCUGUUGACUCGGUUGGUACCUCCGCUUCUCUCUUAACGCGAAAGCUGCAAGUCUUCGUGUUCAGGGGGGAAUACAGUUGCAAGGCUGAAACUUAAAGGAAUUGACGGAAUGACACCACAAGGCGUGGAUGCUGCGGCUUAAUUUGACUCAACACAGAGAAUGUUACCAGAUCAUGAGGUUUGGAGGAUUGACAGAUUGACAGUUCUUUCUUGAUUCAGUUAAUGGUGGUGCAUGGCCGCUCCUGGUUGGUGGAGUGAUUUGUCUGGUUGAUCCCACCCCUUCGAUUUCAGUUAUAUCGUACGUAAUCAUUGGACGCUAUGCAAGGGGACUAUGUGUGUUGAUAACACAUUGAAGUCUGGGCCAAUAGCAGGUCUGUGAUGCUCCUAGAUGUUCUGGGCUGCACCCAUACAAUGGUGAAAGCAGUAGGAUUGGUUCGAUCGAGCUCCUGUUUCGAAAGUAUUGGGAAAUCCCCUCAGAUUUGACUGUGGCUGGGAUAGACAAUUGCAACUGUUUGUCUUGAACUAGGAAUGCCUUGUAAGCACAUCUCAUUACAGUGUAUUGAAUGCGUCCCUGCCCUUUGUACACACCGCCC
Molecule: ribosomal RNA, 988 nt
Filed under: uncultured euglenozoan
Lineage: Eukaryota; Euglenozoa
Description: bacterial SSU rRNA
Rfam family: Eukaryotic small subunit ribosomal RNA
Source: RNAcentral